Molecule: ribosomal RNA, 253 nt
Filed under: uncultured bacterium
Lineage: Bacteria
Description: partial 16S ribosomal RNA
Rfam family: Bacterial small subunit ribosomal RNA
Source: RNAcentral
UACGAAGGGGGCUAGCGUUGCUCGGAAUCACUGGGCGUAAAGCGCACGUAGGCGGAUCUUUAAGUCAGGGGUGAAAUCCUGGAGCUCAACUCCAGAACUGCCUUUGAUACUGGGGAUCUCGAGUCCGGGAGAGGUGAGUGGAACUGCGAGUGUAGAGGUGAAAUUCGUAGAUAUUCGCAAGAACGCCAGUGGCGAAGUCGGCUCACUGGCCCGGUACUGACGCUGAGGUGCGAAAGCUUGGGGAGCAAACAGG